AUAACUCAAACCACAGGGUACGAAACAUUACCUUCACUUUUCUCAAGACUAUGUUUGUGGUCAAAAUGUUCUGAUCAAGACAGUAACCUUGAAAUACUCCUCUGAAAGUAAAACAAAGUCCCUCUGGCACAGAGAGCAUUCAUGGCUUACAGCUUUAUAUACUUUCAGAGGUCUCCAUUUGAAUGCUUAAGUUGUGCACAGUCGUAUAUAAACUAGAAAUACUUUGUAACUACUGUACACAAUACUAAACUUUAAAAAUUGAGACACUGUUACAUAGUACAUCUCUUUCUAUUAAACAGAACAAUAAAAGACGCAAAACCAAGGGAAGCCAGAUUCCUAGGGAAAUACGUAGGCAGGACAAGCACCACCGAAAUUUAUAAGAGGAAAAUAAUUCUGCCCAUAGCAGCUUAUGUAAGUAAAUUAGAGGACAAAUUUUAAAGUGGUAGGCUUCAACUGACUAGUUUCAGUACUGGAAAUGUUUUUCCUUGUGUACUGAUAAUUGAAGUAAAGUGUGAAAGGAGAGACUAUGCCCUAAAAUAAAUAGUCAUUCUAUUAAACAUUCACAGCAAUUUUAUUUCCUGUUCCUUUCUUACCUUAAAGACCCCAAACACACUACGUAAAACUUAAGGCAACACCAACUACUCUUGGGUUUGCUGACUGGAAUAAAACCAGAAGUCAAAAAGA
Pezoporus flaviventris is the source of this 684-nucleotide long non-coding RNA. RefSeq lists it as uncharacterized. The record is from RefSeq and is a predicted model, not a curated record. The transcript is spliced from 2 exons. NCBI's taxonomy places the organism in Eukaryota, Metazoa, Chordata, Aves, Psittaciformes, Psittacidae.